CCCAGAUUAAAAACAAAACUAAAAUUAAAUAAAGAAGAUACUUUACUUUACAAUUUUAAGGUACUUCCGGGUCAAGCGAGGUCACUUCCUGUAUACCUGUAUCCCAGUCACCCAUGUCACUUCCUCUUUCCACUCUUCCACCUGAGAGCCCAGCGAGAGAAACAGAAUUUCUCCUCAGUCAACGGUUUUUUUGUUUUUAAAGGAGCACUAUGAUGGCGAGCUACCACGACGGACAAGGAGAACAGGAGCAUGCCUUCCACAGACUGUGGACGUUUUCUUCUGGCAUAAAUCCUCUUGGAGACCAAAACCUGGAAAUGAGGCACGCACAAUGUUGUGGUUAGGUUGAGGUUAAGGUUAGGGAUAAAGUUUAGUUUAUGCUGUGGCCAAUGCAGUAGCUUAAGAAGAAAUGUGUCCGUUGUGUCUUGUUUCCACUGAGAGAAUAGUGCGAUUGAUUGGGCGAUAGGAAAAAAAGGUGUAAAAAGGUUACUGUUCUAAGUCCAAACUCAAGCCUGACCCCGGGCUAUACCAUUCCAAACUAUACCGUACUUUAUCAAAACGAACCGUACCAUGAUGGAAACACAGCAUUAGCUUCCCCCAGCGUUUCAGAGCAAAGAGUUGUGCCAAAAUGGGAGUGAUUUGAUAUCUAUUUUUGAACACUUUUUUAAUCAUUUAAAUUUGUUAAGGUGGUUUGUAACACAUUAGGGUUGACAAAGGAUCUCAUAGGAGAUUUUUCUUUUAUGACAUUCAAACUGUUAGUUGGCUAUCUUCAGCAUACAGCAUAAUAGCUGUAAAAAUAAUUGCUCAUCACACAUGAAAACAUGAUAUAUAAUUUAGGGAAAGAAGUGACAUUAAUCGUAUUCUUUCUUUGGAAAGAUCUGUGAUCUUCAGUCCAAAUUCAAACUAGAAAUCUUCAUCCCGAAGUGAUUUUAAACAUACAAUGAAGGAAGUAGUAGCUGCAAACUACAUCUCUAUUAUUGAUGCCUUUGCUCUUUGUUUUUUGUGCAAAUUAUUUUGUGAUGUUGUAUUUGUUGUUGUCAAUAUGAUGUCUCACAGAGAUAAAAGAAAACCAGAUUCUAAUGUAGAUGUAACUUUAAUGUACAAAACUUGGACUGCCUAUAGAAUUGGAGCAGCUACACUGCUAAAAAUCUUUGUGGGAGCUGAGGCGAAACAGAUGUCAUCUGCUGCAUUGUAAGCGGUGUUACAUUUCUUCUACUGUUUUAGCCUCACAUUGUUUGGCGCACCGCACCAUUUCUCUCCGCUUCUCACAUCUGUCUGCUGUGGGUUGUCUCCUUUUUUCCCCCUCCUUUCUUUCUACACUGUUUUCUCUGAUACAAUUCUAGUUUUAGAGUCUUUUUCUGAGCUUCAAGAUUCACUCUUCAGUACUUCUCAAACAAGGUUCUUUGGACUUUUAGUUCAUCUUAACUGUUGGACUGUUUCUUUAAGAUGUUUGGCUCUGUUGAGGAAGGUUCCCAAGGGGCAUGCUUUUCAUCAUCUGCACUGUUGUGUUCUCCGUCCUGCCAACUUCCUUUCAAAAUGUCUGCUUUGGCUUCAGUGGACGCCAUUUUCCAGCACAUGCGUCUACAAGCGAACCUCAUGUAAGAAAUAAAAAGAGGCAAAGUCUAGAACCAUGUUACUGAGAAAUCAAUAGCUUCA
Long non-coding RNA from Solea senegalensis (Senegalese sole), 1653 nucleotides. RefSeq lists it as uncharacterized. The transcript has 3 exons. The record is from RefSeq and is a predicted model, not a curated record. NCBI's taxonomy places the organism in Eukaryota, Metazoa, Chordata, Actinopteri, Pleuronectiformes, Soleidae.